AACACCCGACCAACCGCCAAAUGCAGGUGAAUUUUGCAAUUGGCGGGUAACACUGUCAAUCUGCCUGCCACACUGGCAGGUAGCCAAUGAGAAUUGAGGGAUUCAGAUGCUUAACUUUCAGUAAGCAGGGUACUUGGUUGCUUACGGGCCCGGACCAAUUAGGGGCCAGCAUCACUGGAAGACAUUGAUUGACAGCCGGGGCCCCCUGUCGCAUUUUCAUUACUCGCGACAAUCCCAGC
Molecule: long non-coding RNA, 239 nt
Organism: Etheostoma spectabile (orangethroat darter)
Lineage: Eukaryota; Metazoa; Chordata; Actinopteri; Perciformes; Percidae
Exons: 3
Source: RefSeq, a predicted model, not a curated record